This 442-nucleotide ribosomal RNA is filed under the name uncultured bacterium. RNAcentral describes it as "partial 16S ribosomal RNA". It matches the Rfam family "Bacterial small subunit ribosomal RNA", at positions 338 to 795 of the family's 1533-position model. The record is from RNAcentral.
CCUACGGGUGGCAGCAGUGGGGGAUAUUGGACAAUGGGGGGAACCCUGAUCCAGCGACGCCGCGUGAGUGAAGAAGUAUCUCGGUAUGUAAAGCUCUAUCAGCAGGGAAGAAGAAAUGACGGUACCUGAGUAAGAAGCCCCGGCUAACUACGUGCCAGCAGCCGCGUUAAUACGUAGGGGGCAAGCGUUAUCCGGAAUUACUGGGUGUAAAGGGAGCGUAGACGGUGAUGUAAGUCUGGAGUGAAAGGCGGGGGCCCAACCCCCGGACUGCUCUGGAAACUAUGUGACUGGAGUGUAGGAGAGGUGAGCGGAAUUCCUAGUGUAGCGGUGAAAUGCGUAGAUAUUAGGAGGAACAUCAGAGGCGAAGGCGGCUUACUGGACCAUAACUGACGCUGAGGCUCGAAAGCGUGGGGAGCAAACAGGAUUAGAUACCCCUGUAGUC